This is a long non-coding RNA of Dama dama (fallow deer), 510 nucleotides long. RefSeq lists it as uncharacterized. Lineage: Eukaryota; Metazoa; Chordata; Mammalia; Artiodactyla; Cervidae. The transcript is spliced from 2 exons. The record is from RefSeq and is a predicted model, not a curated record.
CUAAGCCCGCCGUCAGGCCCCCCAUAUGCCCUCCCCCAGUCGUCCUCGCUGCCCCGCCACUCUCCUUUUAUUUCCCACCGCCCCUCGCGUGGGAAGCGCGCCCCUUCUCGUGCCUUCCAGUCUCACCGCUCUUGCGGACCCACUUGGACUGUAGAGCGCUUGCCUGGAGUCUCGUCCUCCUCGUGUCCCCUUUUUACCCAGCCUGACACCGAGCCCUGUCGUCUCUCACUGAAGGGGAAGCUAGCAGCCACGCCAUGAGGAUACUCAAGCAGCUCUGGGGAGGGGUUCAUGUGACAGGAAACUGAGGCCCCCUGCCAAAGGCCUUGUGAGCAUGUCAUCUUGGAAGAGGAUUUUUCAGUCCCAGUCAGACCUUCAGCUGACUGCAGACCCAGCUAAUGUCUUAAAACUGCAACCUCCCAAGACCCUAAGCCUGAACUCCAGCUAGGCCGUUCCUGAUUUCCUGACCACAGAAGUUAUAUAAUAAAUGUUUAGUUUUGUUUUAGGCCUCUA